Molecule: long non-coding RNA, 5400 nt
Filed under: Equus asinus (donkey)
Lineage: Eukaryota; Metazoa; Chordata; Mammalia; Perissodactyla; Equidae
Description: lncRNA (ENSEASG00005030290.1)
Source: RNAcentral
CUGGCCUUCGCUACAGGAAUUACCAGCUCCUUUAGGACUAGGAUCGAGCACGUCUCGUCCUUCUCUAACCUCCACCAGUCGAUGAGCACUCCUUGACGCGGGCAGACACCAUCUGCGUUGCCGUGGGCCUUGUCUCAGCUUUGAUGGCUCCACCUUCAGGAUGCUGGGCACACAGAGCCCUCAAUAAGUGGUUCCUACCUGAAGGAGUUAUUUUUUCCUAUUAACAAAGGACGGGACAGACUGUUCCAGAGUUUCUCCGGGGGGUGCUUAGGUCUAAACAUGAUCUGCUGAUUCUAACACAUUCCGCCUUCUCUUCCACGGUCACCUCCUUCAGCGAGUGAAACAGAUUGGUGUCAGUAUUCCUUACUCACAUAGUGUUAUGGGCAGAACGGUGUCCCCCCAAAUUCCUGUGGUGAAGCUCUGACUGCCGGGACCUCAGGAUCUGACUGCACUUGGAGGCAGGGCCUUCAAAGAGGUGAUUAAGUUAAAAUGAGGCCGUUAGGGUGGCUCUCAUCUGAGCUGACUGGUGUCUUUAUAAGAAGAGGAAAUUUGGACACAUAAAGAGCAGGGCACAGAGGAAACACCACGUGAGGACACAGGGAAGAGGCAGCCAUCUCAGCCAAAGAGAGAGGUCUCCAAAGAAACCAGACAGGCUGACACUUUGAUCUUGGACUUUUAGAUUCCAGAACGACUGCAAACUUCAUGAGAGCAGAGACCACACCCAUUACGUUGGCUGGCAUACAGGAGAUCUCAAUAAACAUAGGGAGGAUGGAUGAAGGAGUAGAAGGACAGCAGAGGCAAAGAGCAUCAUUCCUCCUGCAAUGAGCACUUAAUCGAUAUCAGGCACUGGGCAUAUUAAAAUGAGAUUCCACACAGAGUCCCCGCUGUCAGGAAAUCCACAGGUCAGCACAUUCUUGGAAAGAAGAGGAAGGAUUUGAGCAGGAGAACUGCUGGAGGGGAGGAAGCCGAGGUGCUCAGGCACAGUACUGCCUGUUUGCUGGAAUUUCCUGCUUUCCGUUUCUCAGACAGUCCCUUUUUGUCCUAUUUUUGUUCCAGAUGACCCUUUAGUUUUCUGGUGGAAGUAAGUGUCUUCCUUGUCACCCUUAGUUACUGAGCCCAGGAGUUGGUCCUCUUUCUACACUCCAGCUUCCCCGUAGAUCAUUUUAUUAUGUCUCCCGGGUUCUUGCGACACCUUUCAGUCUUUUUCUUCUCUGCUCUGGAGAUUUUUUUUUUUAAGUGAGGAAGAUUGGCUCUGAGCUAACAUCUGUGCCAAUCUUCCUCUAGUACGUGGGCUGCCGCCCCAGCGUGGCUUGAUGUGCGGUAUGUAUGUCCACGCCCUGGAUCUGAACCUGCGAACCCAGGGCUACCUAAUUGGAGCGGGCGAACUCAACCACGCGACCAACCCGGCCCCUGGAGUUUUUUUUAUAAUGCACUGGAGCCCACCCAGUUGGCCCCUUCCCCCUAGCCUGGGUCGCUCAUCACCCUGACAAUAACUGUACUUAAAGAUGCAUGAUUUUCAUUUGCAUAUAAAAGAUAAUCCUUUUGGAUCCGGACAAUCCGUUUCUUGUAUUACAACUUUUAAAGUAGUUAAGACCCCUGCAUUUAUAUUUUAACACAGACCUUGCAGGUUCUAUGUUUGGGGGUGGAGUCACCUCAAAUCUCUCCGUUUGCGUUGAGGAUAAAGAAGUGUCACCUAGGAGGUUGGUCUGACAAUUCCAGGUGCUAAUUGAUGUCCUUGGUUAGUUGGGGGUGGUGGAGGUGGUGGGGGUAGUGGGGGCAAUGCACACAGGCCGCACGGCCCCCAAGCUCUGGAGUUGAGCCCACUGGGUCGCCAGGCUGACUGAGAGGCAGGGGAAACAUUCGGGGGUCUUUGAUGGGUCUUGGGAAGGGGGGAGCAGAUAUUCUAAGCUCUGUGUGGGGCUGGUUUUGAAGGCAGGGACGGCCCUGUUCCCCUCUCUGCUCACAUCUCCCACUAGAACGGUCUCAGCUCGGAACUUCCAAGUGUACCACUGUCCACAGAUUGUUUUCCUCCUGUGGACCUCAAUUUCUCUCUGUAAAACAGAGCUGGUUGCACAUUUCCACCAGUGUUUGGAGAGGGGAGGAGGAGAAGGUGUGGGCCCCAGGAGACAGAGGCUCAGCCCACAUAGCUGGUUCCUGUCAGAUGCUUCUGCUUAGGGGGAGCUGUGGCCGUUGGGCCGCCCUCGCUUCGUGCUCUGGGAGCAGAGGAUCCAGGCCCUGUACCCCACCAUGUGCUUCCUCAUUGGGAGCAGUGUGGGAAGGUCCCUGUGUUCGUGGUGGAAGCACAGGUGUCUGGAGGUGGGUACGGAGGUGGGUAUGGAGGUGGGUCUGGAGGUGGGCAUGAAGGUGGGUCUGGAGGUGGGCAUGGAGGUGGGUCUGGAGCUGGGCUUGGAGCUGGGUCUGGAGGUGGGCGUGAAAGUGGGUCUGGAGGUGGGCAUGGAGGUGGGUCUGGAGCUGGGCCUGGAGGUGGGCAUGGAGGUGGGUCUGGAGCUGGGCAUGGAGGUGGGUCUGGAGGUGGGAAUGAAAGUGGGUCUGGAGGUGGGCAUGGAAUUAGGUCUGGAGAUGGGCAUGGAGUUGGGUCUAGAGCUGCGCAUGGAGCUGGGUCUGGAGGUGGGCAUGGAGGUGGGUCUGGAGCUGGGCAUGGAGCUUGGUCUGGAGGUGGGCAUGGAGCUGGGUCUGGAGCUGGGCCUGGAGGUGGGCACGGAGCUGGGUCUGGAGCUGGGCCUGGAGGUGGGCAUGGAGCUGGGUCUGGAGCUGGGCCUGGAGGUGGGCAUGGAGCUGGGCCUGGAGGUGGGCCUGGAGCUGGGUCUGGAGGCAGGCAGAGGAAAUCUGAAUGCGUUUGGGGGAGGAGGAUGGAUGCCCGAGGGCAGAGGAGAGGGAGGGCUUCUCCUGUUCUCACCCUACUUCUCUCUUCUCAACAGUUCUACACCAUCAGGCAACGUUUAAAUACACUCCGGAACAAACGUCGAUCCUGGGACCUCUGCUUGGCUUGCCUGUGCCCGCCCUGUCCGGUCAGCUGCCACAGACCCUGUGCCUCAUCUGAGGGCUCCUUCCUCCUUCCUCGGAAAGCUGUUCAGGUCACGGCAGAGCUUGCCUCCUUAUGAUGCAGUCGCCAAGGCCCUUCCCCGGCUUCCGAGGAAUUUGGGUCUUAUUACGUGUGUAGAUAAUGCCAUCUAUUGCUAUUUAACUUUUUCACGCACAGCUUUCUCUUCAGUUGCAGUGGGUUUCAGCCCUGGCUGCACAGAAUCACCAGGGAAGCUGUAGAAAAUACUAGUACGCCAGGCCCAAGGCCAGGGACUCUGAUUUAAUGGAUCAGGGGUGGGGCUCCGAGUCUUGUGGCUUGUCAGUCUCCCAGGUGACUGUAAGGAGUGAGGCUUGCAGGCUGGGACCAGCAUUCCAGGGGCUUCCUCCAGUCUCUGUGGAUGAAGGGUUGGUCAGAGGGUCCUUUGGAAAGCAAGUGGCCUGGGGCUAAUCGUGGCUCUGGGCAACCCGGGGGAGGGGGUGAAAAGUGUCCAGUGAGGAGGCUGUGAUGGCAUCGUCUACCUGCUCACCCUGUGGAAAACGAGGGGGGCACUUCCAGGAGGGAUGGGACACCCGCACUCCGCCUCUGGGCUCCUCUUGGGGAAGGAGAUCAAGGUCCCCGUGGGCCGUGCUCCGGAGGCCCUCCUCCCUCUCAACGAUCCUCCGUGUGCUCUCUUGGUUUCUCAUGCCUCAGUUUUCUCUCCCCAGGAGGCUUCAAACAAAGGACAGGUUUAGUGCACUGGGCCCAACACAGCCACUUACUCUGGGACCUGGAUGGAGUUUAUUAACUUCUCUGAACUUCAGGUUCCUCAUCUGUCAAAUGGGCUGAAGCUUAACUCCUAAGGCUACCAUGUGGAUUACAUGGAAGGAUUCUGGCCGAGCGCCGAGCCCACGGUGGACGCUCAGUGGAUAGCUGCUAUGGCUGCCAUUUUCACCUGGUCCCACCUCUUGGUAGCUCCAGAACUGGCUACAUGGUUUGGUUAUUGAACCCUCGGAGCCUCAGUUUCCACAUCUUAUACAACAGGGACAACAACAGGUCCUCCACAGAGCUGGAAGGCAUCAGUAGGUAAAGGGCAGAGCAGAGGAGACGCAGAGCUCAGCCCGGCCCUCUGCUCCCCAGCCCUUCCUCCUCUCAACCUCGCUCUCUCCAGCACCUCCCCCCUCUCUCCACCUCUCUCUAAGUCUUCGCUCUCCUGCUCGUGCUCCUCGCUUGACCCUCCUCGAUAGUCUGAGCAUGGGAGGCCCGGGAUGGAGCCUGUGGGACCAAAGAGGAGGUAGAGAGAUGCAGAACAGGGAGAAGGCAAUGCCCUUCAGCGACAGACCUACUUACCUCUGAGUGACAAAGACCCGGCAAUGGACAGCGUUGAGUCCCCUGUUCCCACGCUCCCUUGGUGACAGGAACUGAAGCCGGAAGAGGUAAGGGAAACUAUGUGACUUCUUUCACUCGUUUAUUCAUCCACUGAGCUCAUACUGGUGGAGUAGUUACAACGUGCCAGGCACAGUGCUUGGCGAACAAGACCGUCUCUGCCGUCGGAGAAGGCACAUCCUCCUUGGAGACACACAGGUACCUGAACAUUUCAGUAUAGUAUGUUAAGUGCUAAAAUAGGGUGCUGACCUGGUUUUUGUCCUGGGGGAGGGAGUCAAGACUUCUGAGACUAAAAGAAGUCCAAGCUGAGAUUGGAAAGUAGGAGUUGGCUAGGUGAAGGGGGAAGGACACGCUUUUCCAGGCUCAGUGUGCACAUGCAAAGGCCUGGAGGCCAGCAUGAGCCUGGCUUGUUCCUGUGUCUGCGGUAGAGAAGUGCUGGCCAAGUGUGCACAAUCUCAGUGGAGGCCAAGCCAUGUCUGGAUUCAGAACCCACUUUGAAGGUGGCAAGACAUGGACAUUGGCAUGAUUGAUAAUGGAUCCCUCAACUAGCCAGAGGGAAGGACCAAAAUAUAGGCUCACAGACUGUGACAGGUGUGAUAAAGAAAAAGUCCCUGUGCUACCCCCCAAAAAAUUAGGAAAAGAAAAAAUAAGAAUGGAACAAAAAAAUUAUGGAGAGUGUAAAGGCAAAUGUGGUGCUUGCAAAGAGUAUGUUGGAGACUGGAAACAGAAGGAUGAGAGACAAGGAGACUCAAGACUUGAUCCCGAGGGAUACUUCAGUGUUUCACUGAAGAUGGAUAAAGACUAAUUCGGCCCAGCACUAUCAAUAUGCCAUUAGCAUUUCUCAUUGCCGCCAAGGCUGCCAUGUGCAAUUGUGCAAGUCGAGCACUGCACAAUUCUAGAGACCACCGUUUCCAUCACUGAUAUAGACUCAUCUAUUUAUUACAACAAUUUUUCAGUAGAUGGCGCACAAAGAGGCCUACAGGUGAAUGGCUGUG